GGGAAUCUUCGGCAAUGGGCGAAAGCCUGACCGAGCAACGCCGCGUGAAUGAAGAAGGCCUUCGGGUUGUAAAACCCUGUUGUUAGAGAAGAAAGUGCGUGAUAGUAACUGUUCACGUUUCGACGGUAUCUAACCAGAAAGCCACGGCUAACUACGUGCCAGCAGCCGCGGUAAUACGUAGGUGGCAAGCGUUAUCCGGAUUUAUUGGGCGUAAAGGGAACGCAGGCGGUCUUUUAAGUCUGAUGUGAAAGCCCCCGGCUCAACCGGGGAGGGUCAUUGGAAACUGGGAGACUUGAGUGCAGAAGAGGAGAGUGGAACUCCAUGUGUAGCGGUGAAAUGCGUAGAUAUAUGGAAGAACACCAGUGGCGAAAGCGGCUCUCUGGUCUGUAACUGACGCUGAGGUUCGAAAGCGUGGGUAGCA
RNAcentral lists this ribosomal RNA (421 nucleotides) under uncultured bacterium. RNAcentral's name for it is "bacterial SSU rRNA". It matches the Rfam family "Bacterial small subunit ribosomal RNA", at positions 357 to 770 of the family's 1533-position model. The record is from RNAcentral.